CCCUGGUCCUCGCCUUGCGUCCGGUCUGGAGCUGUCACCCCGGAGUACCUCUCGGAGUCGGCUGGAAGCAGCCAGCAGCGCAGCUCACUCCCGAGCGCCGGCGCCCUAGAGAGCCAGCAGUCUCCGCCGCAGCUCACAACAAAGGAAACAUGUGACCGUCCCGGCCAAAACACUGAGCGUCACCCAGCCCUGGCCAAUCCGGGGGGGCGGCCUCCGCGCGGGGCACGCUGGGAAUUAUAGUUCCAAACCUGCUGAUUGGAAAGGUUGUGUUGCACAGCCGGUUACGGAAAUGCAGCUUAUGCAAGGAGCCUACUGAGAAACAUGCGUAGUAGACUUAUUGUCCUCAACGCUUCUCCAACACCCUAGGCACAAACAGAACUAGGAAUUCCCAGAACCAAAGAGCUUGGAGUAAAGCCUAGAGAUCUCUUUAUUUGAUCAUUUCCUGUCCAAUUGGGAAAUCUGAGGACCUGAGGGGUGGAAAGGAGUAGUCACUAGAAGGCUCGAGAGAAACUUCCUUUCUUUGUAAAUCUCUUGUCACUUGUAUCAAAUCCUAGGUUACCUUUUUAUUUUAAACAUACAAGCAAGUUGAACUGUUGCAGAUCAAUAUUCCAAAGCAGAUUGAUUCCCCAAAGGGCAUUAUUUUGUCAUUUUGUUUUUGCAAAUAUUUUUUUCGAGGAUGAAUGUAUAACCUGGUUUUUCCACCAAUUAACUGGUUUUUAAUAUCAAAGUUAUAGCUCAUUUCUCUUCUACACUUCAUGAAUACAAUCAUGUGUCUAUUACAUGAGAGGAUGUGACCAGGAAAUAAUAUAGAAGCUGAACUGAACCAGUGUCUGGGUGUGGAGGAUCCACCUGAGGAUUGUUGCCAACAGCCAUAAAAAGAGAACUGGAGGGGAAGAUCGAAGGCUGUUGAUUUUCUAGGAGCAGCUUGUGUGGAUGGUCUUCCUGAUAGGAACUCGGCUGUUUUCAUCAGAGGGGGAGCUCAGGCCUCACUGUGGCUGGGAAUGGCUGCUGUUCUGUCAGGGGAGCUCUGAUCUUCACCGUGAGCAUCACUUCCUGGCUCCAGUAUGGAUCCCUCAGCCUGUGGCACAAAUCCUUCACCCCACCGGCAUAGGCUUUCUGGCUCCCACCACUGGCCUUUGGGCCUUCAGGUGCAGAUCCUCAAUACUGACAAGCGUGAGACGUUGCCAUGGGCUCUGGGCCUCUGGCUGGACUCAUGGAGGACACUGCCUUGGGCUCUAAGCCUUUAGCUGGACUUGUGUGGGAAAUUGCUGAUCCAGGCUCUCGGCUAGAUUCUUUGGGCCCCUAAUGUGUGGCUAAUCUCUUGCACUCCUUUGCAUUUGACUUUUGG
Molecule: long non-coding RNA, 1348 nt
Filed under: Heterocephalus glaber (naked mole-rat)
Lineage: Eukaryota; Metazoa; Chordata; Mammalia; Rodentia; Bathyergidae
Description: lncRNA (ENSHGLG00000044641.1)
Source: RNAcentral